CCUACGGGUGGCAGCAGUGGGGAAUAUUGCGCAAUGGGCGAAAGCCUGAAGCAGCGAAGCAGCGUGAGGGAGGAAGGUCUGAGGAGCGGAAAACUCGGUCAGCAGGGAAGAAAGGUCACUGUGCUAAGCAGCAGUGGAUUGACGGUACCUGCAAAGGAAGCACCGGCUAACUCCGUGCCAGCAGCCGCGGUAAUACGGAGGGUGCGAGCGUUAAUCGGAAUUACUGGGCGUAAAGAGCUCGUAGGCGGUAUGUCAAGUCAAGGGUGAAAUCCCCGCGCUCAACGUGGUAACUGCCUUUGAAACUGGCAGACUGGAGUGUGUGUGAGGAUAGUGGAAUUCCAGGUGU
RNAcentral lists this ribosomal RNA (346 nucleotides) under uncultured bacterium. RNAcentral's name for it is "partial 16S ribosomal RNA". It matches the Rfam family "Bacterial small subunit ribosomal RNA", at positions 338 to 676 of the family's 1533-position model. The record is from RNAcentral.